Molecule: ribosomal RNA, 542 nt
Filed under: uncultured bacterium
Lineage: Bacteria
Description: bacterial SSU rRNA
Rfam family: Bacterial small subunit ribosomal RNA
Source: RNAcentral
GAUUCAUUUUCUCAGUAACGUAGCUAACGCGGUGAAGUUGACCGCCCUGGGGAGUACGGUCGCAAGAUUAAAACUCAAAGGAAUUGACGGGGACCCGCACAAGCGGUGGAUGAUGUGGAUUAAUUCGAUGCAACGCGAAAAACCUUACCUACCCUUGACAUGCCACUAACGAAGCAGAGAUGCAUUAGGUGCCCGAAAGGGAAAGUGGACACAGGUGCUGCAUGGCUGUCGUCAGCUCGUGUCGUGAGAUGUUGGGUUAAGUCCCGCAACGAGCGCAACCCUUGUCUCUAGUUGCUACGCAAGAGCACUCUAGAGAGACUGCCGGUGACAAACCGGAGGAAGGUGGGGAUGACGUCAAGUCCUCAUGGCCCUUAUGGGUAGGGCUUCACACGUCAUACAAUGGUGCGUACAGAGGGUUGCCAACCCGCGAGGGGGAGCUAAUCCCAGAAAACGCAUCGUAGUCCGGAUCGUAGUCUGCAACUCGACUACGUGAAGCUGGAAUCGCUAGUAAUCGCGGAUCAGCAUGCCGCGGUGAAUACGUU